RNAcentral lists this ribosomal RNA (447 nucleotides) under uncultured bacterium. Its description in RNAcentral is "SSU rRNA". It matches the Rfam family "Bacterial small subunit ribosomal RNA", at positions 26 to 518 of the family's 1533-position model. The record is from RNAcentral.
AGAACGAACGCUGGCGGCAGGCUUAACACAUGCAAGUCGAACGGCUGUAGCAAUACAGCAGUGGCAGACGGGUGAGUAACACGUGGGAACCUUCCUAAGGGUACGGAACAACUCAGGGAAACUUGAGCUAAUACCGUAUACGUCCGUAAGGAGAAAGAUUUAUCGCCCUUAGACGGGCCCGCGUCGGAUUAGGUAGUUGGUGGGGUAACGGCCUACCAAGCCUACGAUCCGUAGCUGAUCUGAGAGGAUGAUCAGCCACACUGGGACUGAGACACGGCCCAGACUCCUACGGGAGGCAGCAGUGGGGAAUCUUGGACAAUGGGCGCAAGCCUGAUCCAGCCAUGCCGCGUGAGUGAAGAAGGCCUUAGGGUUGUAAAGCUCUUUUACCAGGGACGAUAAUGACGGUACCUGGAGAAUAAGCCCGGCAAACUUCGUGCCAGCAGCCGC